This 538-nucleotide long non-coding RNA is filed under the name Homo sapiens (human). RNAcentral's name for it is "non-protein coding lnc-VSTM5-1:3". The record is from RNAcentral. Lineage: Eukaryota; Metazoa; Chordata; Mammalia; Primates; Hominidae.
CUUUUCUUCCGCACGGUUGGAGGAGGUCGGCUGGUUAUCGGGAGUUGGAGGGCUGAGGUCGGGAGGGUGGUGUGUACAGAGCUCUAGGACACCAGGCCAGUCGCGGGUUUUGGGCCGAGGCCUGGGUUACAAGCAGCAAGUGCGCGGUUGGGGCCACUGCGAGGCCGUUUUAGAAAACUGUUUAAAACAAAGAGCAAUUGAUGGAUAAAUCAGGAAUAGAUUCUCUUGACCAUGUGACAUCUGAUGCUGUGGAACUUGCAAAUCGAAGGUGAGUGGAUUCAAUCAUGUUUAUUGUAUCUGAAUUAUGAGAAACUAUUGUAUAUAAUGAGUGACAGUAAAGAUAAUUUUCAGGAAUUGGGAAAGAAGGAAAACUAGAUUUCACUGACCUUCCAAGUUUAUCUAGUUACAUAGAUUGAUAUAAUAGCAUUGCAAAUACUUUAAAUUCAAAAUGUGAAUAUAUUAUGGGACACAUUCGUCGAGAAAAAAUGUAUUCUUUGGGUCAUAUUAGCAUCUCUUCCAGACUACAUCCUCCGGUUCG